Molecule: transfer RNA, 91 nt
Filed under: Curtobacterium citreum
Lineage: Bacteria; Bacillati; Actinomycetota; Actinomycetes; Micrococcales; Microbacteriaceae
Description: tRNA-Ala
Source: RNAcentral
CGGGCCGGUCGGGCCGGUCGCGUCGGUCGGGCCGGUCGCGUCGGCCGGGCCGGUCGCGUCGGCCGGGCCGGUCGCGUCGGCCGGGCCGGUC